Molecule: long non-coding RNA, 485 nt
Organism: Drosophila guanche
Lineage: Eukaryota; Metazoa; Arthropoda; Insecta; Diptera; Drosophilidae
Exons: 2
Source: RefSeq, a predicted model, not a curated record
UACAUAUAUAACUAAAUUAAGUUAGAGGGACUUGGUGACGAAAUCAAACAAUUCAGUUUGGGCGGAACCCUGAUCAGCAGUAGGUGCCGUGCCGAUAUGUUGCUUCGACUGGGGCCUGGCUGUUCUUUACGAAUCGGCCAGAGCACGAUCACGUGAUCUCUGUUUAAUUAGUAUUUGUGCAGAUUUAUUUGAAAUGUUCAAACACACACACAUAAAUAUACCUUUCUUGGAUUUAUAAAUAAAUGACCGAGUCCACAGCAAUGAGCCAGCGCUAGCGCAUGAAAUCCCGUACCUACAAGAACAAUAACGACAACGAAAAUAUCAGUGUGUACUUGACAAUGUGUUGGGAACACAGAAACAAUUUUUUGGAAUUUGCUUAGCGAAGAUUGAAAGACGCAUAGAGCCGAUACACCAAAACAGGACUCGGCACGGCCCAUCUAUUGUGCAUAGGACCAUGAAGCAAUUAUAUAAGGAGGGUCCGUCGG